CCGCCGCGUCGAGCACCGGCGCCUGGCCGCUGCGCGCGGGUGGGGCCCAGGUGACCGGGUCCAGGGCCUGUUCGACGCGGGCGCGGUGGCCC
Molecule: transfer RNA, 92 nt
Filed under: Actinokineospora sp. NBRC 105648
Lineage: Bacteria; Bacillati; Actinomycetota; Actinomycetes; Pseudonocardiales; Pseudonocardiaceae
Description: tRNA-Arg
Source: RNAcentral